AAUAGAUACCCUGGUAGUCCACGCCGUAAACGAUGGAUGCUAGCUGUUAUGAGUAUCGACCCUUGUAGUAGCGAAGCUAACGCGUUAAGCAUCCCGCCUGUGGAGUACGAGCGCAAGCUUAAAACAUAAAGGAAUUGACGGGGACCCGCACAAGCGGUGGAGCGUGUUGUUUAAUUCGAUGAUAAGCGAAGAACCUUACCAAGGCUUGACAUCCCUGGAAUUUCUCCGAAAGGAGAGAGUGCCUUCGGGAAUCAGGUGACAGGUGAUGCAUGGCCGUCGUCAGCUCGUGUCGUGAGAUGUUUGGUUAAGUCCAUCAACGAGCGCAACCCUUGUAAAUAGUUGAAUUUUUCUAUUUAGACUGCCUCGGUAACGGGGAGGAAGGAGGGGAUGAUGUCAGGUCAGUAUUUCCCUUACGCCUUGGGCUACAAACACGCUACAAUGGCCGGUACAAAGGGCAGCCAACCCGCGAGGGGUAGCAAAUCCCAUCAAAACCGGUCUCAGUUCGGAUAGCAGGCUGAAAUUCGCCUGCUUGAAGCCGGAAUCGC
This 545-nucleotide ribosomal RNA is filed under the name uncultured bacterium. RNAcentral describes it as "bacterial SSU rRNA". It matches the Rfam family "Bacterial small subunit ribosomal RNA", at positions 777 to 1335 of the family's 1533-position model. The record is from RNAcentral.